ACCGAAUUGGUGUAGGGGUUAACAUGCGGGAUUCUCAAACACUUGAAGAACAUUCCUGAGCCAGGAGUUCGAGUCUCCUAUUCGGUG
Xylariaceae sp. FL0594 is the source of this 87-nucleotide non-coding RNA. Lineage: Eukaryota; Fungi; Ascomycota; Sordariomycetes; Xylariales; Xylariaceae. The record is from the annotation of a GenBank genome assembly.